This 522-nucleotide ribosomal RNA is filed under the name uncultured soil bacterium. RNAcentral's name for it is "bacterial SSU rRNA". It matches the Rfam family "Bacterial small subunit ribosomal RNA", at positions 35 to 573 of the family's 1533-position model. The record is from RNAcentral.
GCUGGCGGCGUGCCUAACACAUGCAAGUCGAACGAGAAAGUGGAGCAAUCCAUGAGUAAAGUGGCGACCGGGUGAGUAACACGUGACUAACCUACCCUAGAGUGGGGAAUAACCUCGGGAAACCGGGGCUAAUACCGCAUAAAAUCGCGAGCUGUAAACGCUUGUGAUCAAAGGAGCAAUUCGCUCAAGGAGGGGGUCGCGGCUGAUUAGUUAGUUGGUGAGGUAACGGCCCACCAAGACUUAGAUCAGUAGCCGGCCUGAGAGGGCGCACGGCCACACUGGAACUGAAACACGGUCCAGACUCCUACGGGAGGCAGCAGUGGGGAAUUUUGCGCAAUGGGGGAAACCCUGACGCAGCAACGCCGCGUGGAGGAUGAAGUCCCUUGGGAUGUAAACUCCUUUCGAUCGGGACGAUAAUGACGGUACCGGAAGAAGAAGCACCGGCUAACUCUGUGCCAGCAGCCCGCGGUAAUACAGAGGGUGCAAGCGUUGUUCGGAAUUAUUGGGCGUAAAGGGUGCGUA